GACGAACGCUGGCGGCGUGCUUAACACAUGCAAGUCGAGCGAGGCCCUCCUUCGGGAGGUGUCCUAGCGGCGAACGGGUGAGUAACACGUGGGCAACCUACCCUCAGCUCUGGGGAUAACCCCGGGAACCGGGGCUAAUACCGGAUAUGACACCGACGGACAUCCGUGGGUGUGGAAAGUUCUUCGGCUGAGGAUGGGCCCGCGGCCUAUCAGCUAGUUGGUGGGGUGACAGCCCACCAAGGCGACGACGGGUAGCCGGCCUGAGAGGGCGAUCGGCCACACUGGGACUGAGACACGGCCCAGACUCCUACGGGAGGCAGCAGUGGGGAAGUCUUGCGCAAUGGGCGAAAGCCUGACGCAGCGACGCCGCGUGAGGGAUGACGGCCU
Molecule: ribosomal RNA, 387 nt
Filed under: uncultured bacterium
Lineage: Bacteria
Description: bacterial SSU rRNA
Rfam family: Bacterial small subunit ribosomal RNA
Source: RNAcentral